CUGCUGAAAGUUGUGUAUGAGUAGUCAUAUCAUAAAGCUGCUUUGAUAUAAAAAAGAUCUAUGGCCAUACUACCCUGAAUGAGUCCCAUCCCAUCUGAUAUAAACAAUCUGCAUAUUGGGAUUGUCAGGGAAUGUUCUUAAAGAUCAGAUUAGUGGUUACCCACAUUACCUGCAAGGCUUUGAUCUUUCUUCUGCCAUUUCCACAUUGGACAUCUCUGCUGAGGAGAGAAAAUGAACCACUCUUUUCCUUUGUAUAAUGUUGUUUUAUUCUUCAGACAGAAGAGAGGAGUUAUACAGUUCUGCAGACAUCCCAUUCCUGUAUGGGGACUGUGUUUGCAUCUUAGAGGCUCCCAGGCCACUAGAGGAGAUAAAGGGAAACAGAUUGUUAUAACUUGAUAUAAUGAUACUAUAAUAGAUGUAACUACAAGGAGCUCCAGAAGCAAGAGAGAGGGAGGAACUUGGACUUCUCUGC
This 472-nucleotide small RNA is filed under the name Pan troglodytes (chimpanzee). RNAcentral describes it as "processed transcript". Lineage: Eukaryota; Metazoa; Chordata; Mammalia; Primates; Hominidae. The record is from RNAcentral.